Eutrema salsugineum is the source of this 123-nucleotide small nucleolar RNA. The record is from Rfam. NCBI's taxonomy places the organism in Eukaryota, Viridiplantae, Streptophyta, Magnoliopsida, Brassicales, Brassicaceae.
GAGCAAUGACGUCAAAACAAAAAUGGCGUGAGUUGCCUUGAAGGUUGGCAAUAACAAAUAGCGAUUCUCCGUGCCUAUCAAUCUUUCUAAUGUUGAUCGUGGCCUCGAACAAGUCGCUACAUU